UGGAAAGGCGCGCGAUACAGGGUGACAGCCCCGUACACAAAAAUGCACAUGCUGUGAGCUCGAUGAGUAGGGCGGGACACGUGGUAUCCUGUCUGAAUAUGGGGGGACCAUCCUCCAAGGCUAAAUACUCCUGACUGACCGAUAGUGAACCAGUACCGUGAGGGAAAGGCGAAAAGAACCCCGGCGAGGGGAGUGAAAAAGAACCUGAAACCGUGUACGUACAAGCAGUGGGAGCACGCUUAGGCGUGUGACUGCGUACCUUUUGUAUAAUGGGUCAGCGACUUAUAUUCUGUAGCAAGGUUAACCGAAUAGGGGAGCCGAAGGGAAACCGAGUCUUAACUGGGCGUUAAGUUGCAGGGUAUAGACCCGAAACCCGGUGAUCUAGCCAUGGGCAGGUUGAAGGUUGGGUAACACUAACUGGAGGACCGAACCGACUAAUGUUGAAAAAUUAGCGGAUGACUUGUGGCUGGGGGUGAAAGGCCAAUCAAACCGGGAGAUAGCUGGUUCUCCCCGAAAGCUAUUUAGGUAGCGCCUCGUGAAUUCAUCUCCGGGGGUAGAGCACUGUUUCGGCAAGGGGGUCAUCCCGACUUACCAACCCGAUGCAAACUGCGAAUACCGGAGAAUGUUAUCACGGGAGACACACGGCGGGUGCUAACGUCCGUCGUGAAGAGGGAAACAACCCAGACCGCCAGCUAAGGUCCCAAAGUCAUGGUUAAGUGGGAAACGAUGUGGGAAGGCCCAGACAGCCAGGAUGUUGGCUUAGAAGCAGCCAUCAUUUAAAGAAAGCGUAAUAGCUCACUGGUCGAGUCGGCCUGCGCGGAAGAUGUAACGGGGCUAAACCAUGCACCGAAGCUGCGGCAGCGACGCUUAUGCGUUGUUGGGUAGGGGAGCGUUCUGUAAGCCUGCGAAGGUGUGCUGUGAGGCAUGCUGGAGGUAUCAGAAGUGCGAAUGCUGACAUAAGUAACGAUAAAGCGGGUGAAAAGCCCGCUCGCCGGAAGACCAAGGGUUCCUGUCCAACGUUAAUCGGGGCAGGGUGAGUCGACCCCUAAGGCGAGGCCGAAAGGCGUAGUCGAUGGGAAACAGGUUAAUAUUCCUGUACUUGGUGUUACUGCGAAGGGGGGACGGAGAAGGCUAUGUUGGCCGGGCGACGGUUGUCCCGGUUUAAGCGUGUAGGCUGGUUUUCCAGGCAAAUCCGGAAAAUCAAGGCUGAGGCGUGAUGACGAGGCACUACGGUGCUGAAGCAACAAAUGCCCUGCUUCCAGGAAAAGCCUCUAAGCAUCAGGUAACAUCAAAUCGUACCCCAAACCGACACAGGUGGUCAGGUAGAGAAUACCAAGGCGCUUGAGAGAACUCGGGUGAAGGAACUAGGCAAAAUGGUGCCGUAACUUCGGGAGAAGGCACGCUGAUAUGUAGGUGAAGUCCCUCGCGGAUGGAGCUGAAAUCAGUCGAAGAUACCAGCUGGCUGCAACUGUUUAUUAAAAACACAGCACUGUGCAAACACGAAAGUGGACGUAUACGGUGUGACGCCUGCCCGGUGCCGGAAGGUUAAUUGAUGGGGUUAGCCGCAAGGCGAAGCUCUUGAUCGAAGCCCCGGUAAACGGCGGCCGUAACUAUAACGGUCCUAAGGUAGCGAAAUUCCUUGUCGGGUAAGUUCCGACCUGCACGAAUGGCGUAAUGAUGGCCAGGCUGUCUCCACCCGAGACUCAGUGAAAUUGAACUCGCUGUGAAGAUGCAGUGUACCCGCGGCAAGACGGAAAGACCCCGUGAACCUUUACUAUAGCUUGACACUGAACAUUGAGCCUUGAUGUGUAGGAUAGGUGGGAGGCUUUGAAGUGUGGACGCCAGUCUGCAUGGAGCCGACCUUGAAAUACCACCCUUUAAUGUUUGAUGUUCUAACGUUGACCCGUAAUCCGGGUUGCGGACAGUGUCUGGUGGGUAGUUUGACUGGGGCGGUCUCCUCCUAAAGAGUAACGGAGGAGCACGAAGGUUGGCUAAUCCUGGUCGGACAUCAGGAGGUUAGUGCAAUGGCAUAAGCCAGCUUGACUGCGAGCGUGACGGCGCGAGCAGGUGCGAAAGCAGGUCAUAGUGAUCCGGUGGUUCUGAAUGGAAGGGCCAUCGCUCAACGGAUAAAAGGUACUCCGGGGAUAACAGGCUGAUACCGCCCAAGAGUUCAUAUCGACGGCGGUGUUUGGCACCUCGAUGUCGGCUCAUCACAUCCUGGGGCUGAAGUAGGUCCCAAGGGUAUGGCUGUUCGCCAUUUAAAGUGGUACGCGAGCUGGGUUUAGAACGUCGUGAGACAGUUCGGUCCCUAUCUGCCGUGGGCGCUGGAGAACUGAGGGGGGCUGCUCCUAGUACGAGAGGACCGGAGUGGACGCAUCACUGGUGUUCGGGUUGUCAUGCCAAUGGCACUGCCCGGUAGCUAAAUGCGGAAGAGAUAAGUGCUGAAAGCAUCUAAGCACGAAACUUGCC
Molecule: ribosomal RNA, 2469 nt
Filed under: Escherichia coli
Lineage: Bacteria; Pseudomonadati; Pseudomonadota; Gammaproteobacteria; Enterobacterales; Enterobacteriaceae
Description: partial 23S ribosomal RNA
Rfam family: Bacterial large subunit ribosomal RNA
Source: RNAcentral